CGCAUCUGUGCAUGCAGCAUAUCAAUAAGCGGAGGAAAAGAAACUAACAAGGAUUCCCUUAGUAACGGCGAGUGAAGCGGGAAGAGCUCAAAUUUGAAAUCUUCAAGGUUUUACCUUGACGAAUUGUAGUUUAAAGAAGUGUUUUCUGUUGAAGUUUUGGUAAAAGUUCUUUGGAAUAGGACAUCAUAGAGGGUGAGAAUCCCGUAUUUGACCAUUAUUUUCAGCUGUGUGAUACACUUUCAAAGAGUCGGAUUGUUUGGGAAUGCAGUCCAAAAUGGGUGGUAAAUUUCAUCUAAAGCUAAAUAUUGGCGAGAGACCGAUAGCGAACAAGUACCGUGAGGGAAAGAUGAAAAGAACUUUGAAAAGAGAGUUAAACAGUACGUGAAAUUGUCAAAAGGGAAGCGUUUGACACCAGUGUUGUUUUCUCGAAAAUCAAUUAAAAAGAGUUUGAUUUUGUUGUGUAUUGACCUUAACAGCUUGCAUUUCAAUUUUCUUGCUUUUUUUAAUGCACUUUUCGUUUAACAAGUCAACAUCAGUUUCUUUUGUUGUAAAAAGGUCAUUGGAAGGUGGCUUUCCUUUCGGAGAAAGUGUUUAUAGCCUUUGACUCCUGCAAUCGGAGAGACUGAGGUCUGCAGUGUAGAUCCUUCGGGGUUAGAUACAUUUGUGCUAAGUUAUAGCUUUUUAGUAGACAACUUGUUGACUAUGAUUAGUCUUGUAGCUUACUCGCUUAUGCUAUUUUACCUACGCUUAGGAUGUUGACACACGCGCGUGCUCG
RNAcentral lists this ribosomal RNA (775 nucleotides) under uncultured Neocallimastigales. RNAcentral describes it as "partial large subunit ribosomal RNA". It matches the Rfam family "Eukaryotic large subunit ribosomal RNA", at positions 26 to 643 of the family's 3401-position model. The record is from RNAcentral. Lineage: Eukaryota; Fungi; Neocallimastigomycota; Neocallimastigomycetes; Neocallimastigales.